This 301-nucleotide ribosomal RNA is filed under the name uncultured bacterium. RNAcentral describes it as "partial 16S ribosomal RNA". It matches the Rfam family "Bacterial small subunit ribosomal RNA", at positions 512 to 808 of the family's 1533-position model. The record is from RNAcentral.
CAUCGCCGCGGUAAUACAGAGGGUGCGAGCGUUAAUCGGAUUUACUGGGCGUAAAGCGUGCGUAGGCGGCUUUUUAAGUCGGAUGUGAAAUCCCUGAGCUUAACUUAGGAAUUGCAUUCGAUACUGGGAAGCUAGAGUAUGGGAGAGGAUGGUAGAAUUCCAGGUGUAGCGGUGAAAUGCGUAGAGAUCUGGAGGAAUACCGAUGGCGAAGGCAGCCAUCUGGCCUAAUACUGACGCUGAGGUACGAAAGCAUGGGGAGCAAACAGGAUUAGAUACCCCCGUAGUCCCUGUCUCUUAUACA